GGACUACAGGGGUUUCUAAUCCUGUUCGCUACCCACGCUUUCGUCCAUCAGCGUCAAUCCAUUAGUAGUAACCUGCCUUCGCAAUUGGUAUUCCAUGUAAUCUCUAAGCAUUUCACCGCUACACUACAUAUUCUAGUUACUUCCUAAUAAUUCAAGCCUAACAGUAUCAAUGGCCGUUCCUACGUUAAGCGUAGGGCUUUCACCACUGACUUAUUAAGCCGCCUACGGACCCUUUAAACCCAAUGAUUCCGGAUAACGCUUGGAUCCUCCGUAUUACCGCGGCUGCUGGCAC
RNAcentral lists this unclassified non-coding RNA (292 nucleotides) under uncultured fungus. RNAcentral describes it as "sequence contains ITS1". Lineage: Eukaryota; Fungi. The record is from RNAcentral.